RNAcentral lists this transfer RNA (69 nucleotides) under Hyphessobrycon pulchripinnis. RNAcentral's name for it is "tRNA-His". It matches the Rfam family "tRNA". From Rfam's summary of the family: Transfer RNA (tRNA) molecules are approximately 80 nucleotides in length. Their secondary structure includes four short double-helical elements and three loops (D, anti-codon, and T loops). Further hydrogen bonds mediate the characteristic L-shaped molecular structure. tRNAs have two regions of fundamental functional importance: the anti-codon, which is responsible for specific mRNA codon recognition, and the 3' end, to which the tRNAs corresponding amino acid is attached (by aminoacyl-tRNA synthetases). tRNAs cope with the degeneracy of the genetic code in two manners: having more than one tRNA (with a specific anti-codon) for a particular amino acid; and 'wobble' base-pairing, i.e. permitting non-standard base-pairing at the 3rd anti-codon position. Lineage: Eukaryota; Metazoa; Chordata; Actinopteri; Characiformes; Acestrorhamphidae. The record is from RNAcentral.
GUGGAUAUAGUUUAAUUAAAACAUUAGAUUGUGGUUCUAAAAAUAAAGGUUGAAAUCCGCUUAUCUACC